This 573-nucleotide ribosomal RNA is filed under the name Notothenia neglecta (yellowbelly rockcod). RNAcentral describes it as "partial 16S ribosomal RNA". It matches the Rfam family "Bacterial large subunit ribosomal RNA", at positions 1815 to 2597 of the family's 2925-position model. Lineage: Eukaryota; Metazoa; Chordata; Actinopteri; Perciformes; Nototheniidae. The record is from RNAcentral.
CCGACCUCUUGCAAUAUGAAUAAGAGGUCCCGCCUGCCCUGUGACUAUUAGUUUAACGGCCGCGGUAUUUUGACCGCGCGAAGGUAGCGCAAUCACUUGUCUCUUAAAUGGAGACCUGUAUGAAUGGCACGACGAGGGCUUAGCUGUCUCCUCCCCUAAGUUAAUGAAAUUGAUCUUUCCGUGCAGAAGCGGGAAUAAACACAUAAGACGAGAAGACCCUAUGAAGCUUUAGACGUAAGGUAGACCAGACUACAAAGACCCCCUAAUAAGGGCACAAACCAAAAGGACCCCUACCCCGAUGUCUUUGGUUGGGGCGACCGCGGGGAAAGAAAAAACCCCCACGUAGAACAGGAGUACAACUCCUUAAACUCAGAGCCACAGCUCUAAGAAACAAAAUUUUUGACCUAAAGAUCCGGCAAUGCCGAUCAACGGACCGAGUUACUCUAGGGAUAACAGCGCAAUCCCCUUUUAGAGACCAUAUCAACAAGGGGGUUUACGACCUCGAUGUUGGAUCAGGACAUCCUAUUGGUGCAGCAGCUAUUAAGGGUUCGUUUGUUCAACGAUUAAAGUCCU